UACGUAGGGGGCGAGCGUUGUCCGGAAUUACUGGGCGUAAAGCGCGCGCAGGCGGCCUAUUAAGUCAGGUGUUAAAAUGCGGAGCUUAACUCCGUAUCGCACUUGAAACUGGUAGGCUUGAGUGCAGGAGAGGGAAGUGGAAUUCCCAGUGUAGCGGUGAAAUGCGUAGAUAUUGGGAGGAACACCAGUGGCGAAGGCGACUUCCUGGACUGUAACUGACGCUCAGGCGCGAAAGCUAGGGGAGCAAACA
This 250-nucleotide ribosomal RNA is filed under the name uncultured bacterium. RNAcentral's name for it is "partial 16S ribosomal RNA". It matches the Rfam family "Bacterial small subunit ribosomal RNA", at positions 524 to 774 of the family's 1533-position model. The record is from RNAcentral.